CCAAGGCUAAAUACUCCUGACUGACCGAUAGUGAACCAGUACCGUGAGGGAAAGGCGAAAAGAACCCCGGCGAGGGGAGUGAAAAAGAACCUGAAACCGUGUACGUACAAGCAGUGGGAGCACGCUUAGGCGUGUGACUGCGUACCUUUUGUAUAAUGGGUCAGCGACUUAUAUUCUGUAGCAAGGUUAACCGAAUAGGGGAGCCGAAGGGAAACCGAGUCUUAACUGGGCGUUAAGUUGCAGGGUAUAGACCCG
Molecule: ribosomal RNA, 255 nt
Filed under: Escherichia coli
Lineage: Bacteria; Pseudomonadati; Pseudomonadota; Gammaproteobacteria; Enterobacterales; Enterobacteriaceae
Also listed under: 1 other name
Description: partial 23S ribosomal RNA
Rfam family: Bacterial large subunit ribosomal RNA
Source: RNAcentral